CAUACCACCCUGAACACAUCUGGUCUCAUCUGAUCUCAGAAGCUAAGUAGGGUCGGGCCUGGUUAGUACUUGGAUGGGAGACUUCUAGAAGAGUUAUAAGAAAAAAAAAAAA
This 112-nucleotide ribosomal RNA is filed under the name Erinaceus europaeus (western European hedgehog). Lineage: Eukaryota; Metazoa; Chordata; Mammalia; Eulipotyphla; Erinaceidae. The record is from RNAcentral.